CCUAACACAUGCAAGUCGAGCGGAUGAAGGGAGCUUGCUCCUGGAUUCAGCGGCGGACGGGUGAGUAAUGCCUAGGAAUCUGCCUGGUAGUGGGGGAUAACGUCCGGAAACGGGCGCUAAUACCGCAUACGUCCUGAGGGAGAAAGUGGGGGAUCUUCGGACCUCACGCUAUCAGAUGAGCCUAGGUCGGAUUAGCUAGUUGGUGGGGUAAAGGCCUACCAAGGCGACGAUCCGUAACUGGUCUGAGAGGAUGAUCAGUCACACUGGAACUGAGACACGGUCCAGACUCCUACGGGAGGCAGCAGUGGGGAAUAUUGGACAAUGGGCGAAAGCCUGAUCCAGCCAUGCCGCGUGUGUGAAGAAGGUCUUCGGAUUGUAAAGCACUUUAAGUUGGGAGGAAGGGCAGUAAGUUAAUACCUUGCUGUUUUGACGUUACCAACAGAAUAAGCACCGGCUAACUUCGUGCCAGCAGCCGCGGUAAUACGAAGGGUGCAAGCGUUAAUCGGAAUUACUGGGCGUAAAGCGCGCGUAGGUGGUUCAGCAAGUUGGAUGUGAAAUCCCCGGGCUCAACCUGGGAACUGCAUCCAAAACUACUGAGCUAGAGUACGGUAGAGGGUGGUGGAAUUUCCUGUGUAGCGGUGAAAUGCGUAGAUAUAGGAAGGAACACCAGUGGCGAAGGCGACCACCUGGACUGAUACUGACACUGAGGUGCGAAAGCGU
This 720-nucleotide ribosomal RNA is filed under the name Pseudomonas aeruginosa. RNAcentral describes it as "bacterial SSU rRNA". It matches the Rfam family "Bacterial small subunit ribosomal RNA", at positions 47 to 762 of the family's 1533-position model. Lineage: Bacteria; Pseudomonadati; Pseudomonadota; Gammaproteobacteria; Pseudomonadales; Pseudomonadaceae. The record is from RNAcentral.